AUAUAUGUAUAUAUAUAAGAUGGUAGGCGGGAAGAGGAAUCGACGCAAUAUCGACUGAAGGUUGCGCAAUCGAGAUGGCUCUUCCCGGCACGGAUACCUCCUCCUCGCGUAC
Non-coding RNA from Caenorhabditis elegans, 112 nucleotides. NCBI's taxonomy places the organism in Eukaryota, Metazoa, Nematoda, Chromadorea, Rhabditida, Rhabditidae. The record is from Ensembl.